UUUUUAAAAAAAAAUCUCGCAUCUUUAAACUAAUGUCAUCAUUUUCAAAAUUGUUCAUCGUGACAGAAAUUUCAAACAAAAAUUGAAAUUUUUCAUAAUUUUGAAUUACAUUAACUUUUAUCAAUAUUUUCUGUCGAUUUAAAAAAAAAAACUACUAUUUUUAAAAAUAAUAUUAAAAUAAUCACAUAUUCAAAUUAAUUAUCAAUAUAAUUACUUUUCAAACAAAAAAAAUUACAC
This 237-nucleotide long non-coding RNA is filed under the name Lathyrus oleraceus (garden pea). RNAcentral describes it as "Pisum sativum (pea) long non-coding RNA (PSAT_LNC037352)". Lineage: Eukaryota; Viridiplantae; Streptophyta; Magnoliopsida; Fabales; Fabaceae. The record is from RNAcentral.